RNAcentral lists this ribosomal RNA (562 nucleotides) under uncultured bacterium. RNAcentral describes it as "partial 16S ribosomal RNA". It matches the Rfam family "Bacterial small subunit ribosomal RNA", at positions 355 to 1375 of the family's 1533-position model. The record is from RNAcentral.
UGGGGAAUAUUGGACAAUGGGCGCAAGCCUGAUCCAGCCAUGCCGCGUGAGUGAUGAAGGCCUUAGGGUUGUAAAGCUCUUUCGCCGGUGAAGAUAAUGACGGUAACCGGAGAAGAAGCCCCGGCUAACUUCGUGCCAGCAGCCGCGGUAAUACGAAGGGGGCUAGCGUUGCUCGGAAUCACUGGGCGUAAAGCGCACGUAGGCGGAUCGUUAAGUCAGGGGUGAAAUCCUGGAGCUCAACUCCAGAACUGCCCUUGAUACUGGCGAUCUCGAGUUCGAGAGAGGUUGGUGGAACUCCGAGUGUAGAGGUGAAAUUCGUAGAUAUUCGGAAGAACACCAGUGGCGAAGGCGGCCAACUGGCUCGAUACUGACGCUGAGGUGCGAAAGCGUGGGGAGCAAAACAGGAUUAGAUACCCUGGUAGUCCACGCCGUAAAACGAUGGAUGCUAGCCGUUGGGGGGUUUACCUCUCAGUGGCGCAGCUAACGCCUUAAGCAUCCCGCCUGGGGAGUACGGUCGCAAGAUUAAAACUCAAAGGAAUUGACGGGGUCAUAGCUGUUUCCU